GGCUCCAUAGCUCAGUAGGUAGAGCAGAGGACUGAAAAUCCUUGUGUCACUGGUUCAAUUCCCGUUGGAGCCACCA
This 76-nucleotide transfer RNA is filed under the name Bacillota bacterium. RNAcentral describes it as "tRNA-Phe". It matches the Rfam family "tRNA". From Rfam's summary of the family: Transfer RNA (tRNA) molecules are approximately 80 nucleotides in length. Their secondary structure includes four short double-helical elements and three loops (D, anti-codon, and T loops). Further hydrogen bonds mediate the characteristic L-shaped molecular structure. tRNAs have two regions of fundamental functional importance: the anti-codon, which is responsible for specific mRNA codon recognition, and the 3' end, to which the tRNAs corresponding amino acid is attached (by aminoacyl-tRNA synthetases). tRNAs cope with the degeneracy of the genetic code in two manners: having more than one tRNA (with a specific anti-codon) for a particular amino acid; and 'wobble' base-pairing, i.e. permitting non-standard base-pairing at the 3rd anti-codon position. The record is from RNAcentral. Lineage: Bacteria; Bacillati; Bacillota.